Molecule: small nuclear RNA, 107 nt
Organism: Sapajus apella (tufted capuchin)
Lineage: Eukaryota; Metazoa; Chordata; Mammalia; Primates; Cebidae
Source: RefSeq, a predicted model, not a curated record
GUGCUCACUUUGGCAACAAAUAUACUAAAAUUAGAAUGAUAUAGAGAAGAUUAGCAUGGACCCUGCAUAAGGAUGACAUGCAAAUUCGUGAAGCAGUCCAUAUUUUU